AUGAAGAACGCAGCGAAAUGCGAUAAGUAAUGCGAAUUGCAGAAUUCAGUGAAUCAUCGAAUCUUUGAACGCACAUUGCGCCCGCCAGCACUCUGGCGGGCAUGCCUGUUCGAGCGUCAUUUCAACCAUCAAGCCCCCAGGGGCUUGUGCUGGGGCCCUGCGGCUGCCCGCAGGCCCUGAAAACCAGUGGCGGGCUCGCUAGUCACACCGAGCGCAGUAGCACAUCUCGCUCAGGGCGUGCGGCGGGCUCCUGCCGUGAAACCCCCCACUGUAACCCCAAAGGUUGACCUCGGAUCAGGUAGGAAUACCCGCUGAACUUAAGCAUAUCAAUAAGCGGAGGA
RNAcentral lists this unclassified non-coding RNA (341 nucleotides) under soil metagenome. Its description in RNAcentral is "partial contains 5.8S ribosomal RNA, internal transcribed spacer 2, and large subunit ribosomal RNA". The stretch from base 1 to 119 matches the Rfam family "5.8S ribosomal RNA", at positions 36 to 154 of the family's 154-position model. The record is from RNAcentral.